RNAcentral lists this ribosomal RNA (497 nucleotides) under uncultured Glomeromycotina. RNAcentral describes it as "partial small subunit ribosomal RNA". It matches the Rfam family "Eukaryotic small subunit ribosomal RNA", at positions 591 to 1092 of the family's 1831-position model. The record is from RNAcentral. Lineage: Eukaryota; Fungi; Glomeromycota.
CCAAUAGCGUAUAUUAAAGUUGUUGCAGUUAAAAAGCUCGUAGUUGAAUUUCAGGCCUGGCUGGACGGUCCGCCCUUCGAGUGAGUACUGUCUGUGGUCGGGUCCUACCUUCUGGCGAAGCGUCAUGGCCUUAACCGGCCGUGGCGGGGAACCAGGACUUUUACUGUGAAAAAAUUAGAGUGUUCAAAGCAGGCAAUCGCUUGGAUACAUUAGCAUGGAAUAAUGGAAUAGGACAAUGGUUCUAUUUGUUGGUUUCUAGGACCGUUGUAAUGAUUAAUAGGGAUAGUUGGGGGCAUUAGUAUUCAAUUGUCAGAGGUGAAAUUCUUGGAUUUAUUGAAGACUGACUACUGCGAAAGCAUUUGCCAAGGAUGUUUUCAUUAAUCAAGAACGAAAGUUAGGGGAUCGAAGACGAUCAGAUACCGUCGUAGUCUUAACCAUAAACUAUGCCGACUAGGAAUCGGGCGAUGUUGACAAAAUGACGCGCUCGGCACCUCAUG